This 3569-nucleotide long non-coding RNA is filed under the name Eucalyptus grandis. RNAcentral describes it as "long non-coding RNA (EGRA_LNC003550)". Lineage: Eukaryota; Viridiplantae; Streptophyta; Magnoliopsida; Myrtales; Myrtaceae. The record is from RNAcentral.
UUUUACAUAAAGGAUUCGAUUAGAUAACUGUCUUCUCUUCACCGAGUGGUGGAAGAACUUGGUGUUUUUAUAUCCUUCUUUCAACCAUUUGAUUCUAGAUUUCUACCUAUAGAAGGAUUCUUCUUGAUUUGUAAGAUCAACAAACAUACGGAGGUGUUGUCUUUCCAAAUCAGCAAGAGCAGAGUUUUCCGGAUCCGACUGAAGGUCUAAUUGGAUUCUGCCAAGGGCCUCUCUAGCCUCUGCUGCUUUAACCGAAAUAUCAGAGAAAGCAUCUUUGUUAAGAAGCUUCAAAUGAGCUUUCAACAUCUUCAACUUGGAAACAAGCUUGAACAUAGGAACACCCCUAACCGGACUGGCCCACACCUGUUGAACGAUCGACUUAAAAUUUGGAUGCUCGGCCCAGAACUUGAAAUACUUGAAUGGUUUUGUCCUGCGGAUCGGCUAAAGAACCCUAACAGUCAUCGGCGUAUGAUCAGAAAUGCCUGGAUUAAGAAACGCUGCCUCUGAAUAAGAAAACUCAAGAUUCCACUUGUUAUUAACUAAAACACGGUCUAUCUUUCUCAACUUCCUUGCAUUUCCAGCUGAGGUAGACCAAGUGUAGCGAAGACCGACAUAUUUGAGAUCCAUCAGCUCAGUUUGCGCCAAACAUUGAGCAAAUUCAUCAAAAUAAGGGAUCCAAUUGGUGGAGCUACCGACCCGGUCUGAGGGGUCCUUAAUUGCGUUAAAAUCACCAGCAACCAGCCAUGCAGAGUCUUGAAAAAGCUCGUUGUAAUGCUGGAGAUCUUGCCAAAGAGGUCUACGGCGAGAAAAGGAAUGCUCACCAUAGACAGCAGAGAUACAACAGUCCAUACCAGUCAGAUUAAAACUAAGGCUACCAUGCACAGCCUGGUCAUUAAUAGAUAUAGGCAAAAAAAGAAACCUGAUCCGGGUUCCACCCGACCCAAAUUCUACCACAAGGCGAGAAAUCGUAAUUAGCAAGCCACUUCCAAUCCUUAAUGAGGGUGGAUGAGACUGCUUCAAAAGACUCCUCAGGCACUUUAGUCUCAAACAGACCAAUAAAACAAAGCUUAUUUACAGCAACAAAGCGCCUGAUCUUAGCUCGCCUAAGAGGGUCACACAUGCCUUUAAUAUUCCAAAAGCCGAUAAUCAUCAAAAAACAAAAAGGAGGGACACGAAUUACCUCUUUCUAGUAGUCUUCUUGCCUGCACUAGGCCUUUUUGAAGCCACUGAAGGAGGGGGAUGAGAGCGGAGCCUUAGAAGCUGGUCUUGAAGAUUACCGACUCUCGCAGGGAGAGGGCCUUUUGGCAAUGGCCUUUGAACCGACUGAGUAUCAUCAUCACUCAAGAAGUCCUCAUGAACACUUGAAUUGCUAAUCUCAUCAGAGCUCUCAGACAAAGCCAACUGAACCGCAGUAGUAGGAGCGAUUGCCUUUGGUGGAUCCUUCUUCUCAAGAGUAGGCUUAGGGAUUUGAGGAGGUACCUCUGGUUCAUAAUCUUUAAACUUUAGAACUUGACCUUCAUUAGAAGGAGGGGAGAGUCCAAGUGAAGCAGCAGCAGCAGCAGCCGCCUCCCUCGCUGCGAUUUUCAUCUUCUUUUUCUUGUUCUUGCGCUUGACCUGUUUCCAUCUUGUAUCCGCUGAAGCAGAUUCAGAUUCAGCAAGGGUAUAACCAUUGGCAGGCUGUGAUGACGUUGGUUCCCCCGGUUCCUGUAAUGCCCCUUUCGGUGAACUCGAUUCACCAAUAUGAGUACAUCUAUUCUCUUCCAAACGAGGCGCAUGGUCCUCAUCAGCAACCAUAAAUUGACGCUUUAGGGGAGAAAGGUCAUCCCCAUCAGAUGAAGGCGAGAUAACCACUCCUUUACCUUUAGCCAAAACAGCAACAUCUUCAGAGUUCACCCCCUGAACGGGUUCUGCUUCCUUAGCACCAUCUACAAUUCGGUCAGGAGCAGAUGCAGGAGCAGAAGUCCUACAGUUGUGACCAAAUAUGUUGCAUUUCAAACAGGCCAAUGGCUUCCACUCAUAUUCACCUUCUACAACAACCGAAUUACCCAUGGUAAUCAAUUGAAUAGUUUCGCAGAUUGGCUGCUGAACCAUUAUUUCAACGCAUACUCGAGCAAAGGUUAGCAUCGACAUCUACUCUGUUCUUUGAUCCACAUAUAAUGGUUUUCCUAACACACUGGCCACCUUUCCAAUGGAAUGUGCAGACCAUAAGGAGAAAGGUAGGUUUCGCAGCCUGACCCAAACCGGAACAGACUGGUGAGAGUCUUUAUUCAGCUCAAUUCCUGGUUUCCAUUGUUGAAGAAUUAACAGAAUCCUCACAACUGUGACAGUGCCCCCUUCUAAGAUUUUCCGUUUGAAUUCUCCAUUAGUAAUACGCAGCAAAAAUAGUCCACGCCCAUUAGACAUUACUUCCAAAAGGCUCGGACCCCAAGCUUUCCUAAGGGCCUCCUCAACAACUUUAAACGGCAAUUUCUUCCCGAUAAAAUAACCCACAAGGCAAUCAAAUAGCUUAGGGUCAGUAGCUUCUAAAUUAGAUUCAUCCAUCUGUAUAACAUGCUUACUGCUCUGAACAUGUAGAGGAGUGAAAUCCAUAUCAUAACCCCUAUUCGCACCACUGGCAACAGCAGCUCAAGAGCGAGCUAUAGGUUUUUUGGAGACAUCUCUGGAUUGAGGCCGCUUCGUUCUGACCUACCUCGACUAUUAUAGCUGCCCCUCGUAGGCACAGAAGGAUGUCGAGGCUUAGCAGCUUCGCUCGAAGGAAUUGGGGGCUUGCGGUUUUAAACAUCCAACGAAGGAUCAUCCAAACAAAGUUCGUCCCAUACUAGGAGGUGAGGGAGUUCGCUUGCUCUGCCCUUCAUCAUUGGAACGGGCCAAAACCACUUCGUGAUCCAUAUCAACAAGAUGCGAGCAGCAGAGGGUCGAGAAACCCUAACCCAUCGCAACUCAGAAAGCCCAAAAGAAGAAGACGUACUAGGCUACACCUUAGAGGGUUUGAGGAGCAGUAGAAGGCGCCCCUUGCCACCGAGUUUCGGCCCCAAACAACAGUCAACACCCGCGGAAACAGCAACGCAAGAUUCGCAGGAACAGUGCAGGAGUCGCUCGAGAAGAGAGCUAGAGCGAACCCACGCGCCACCGCUUAGCCUUGCCUCUGCGGUCGCCCGCAACCCAGUCCUCGAGCCGUCGACAAUGGUCUAGCCGCACGCGGACCCGGAUGCGGCUCCACCCUCUUCAAUCCCGCCGAAACAGGCACCGUCGUCAUCGGCUCCGAGAGAGAAGUUCCGCUCCUUGCCCUUCGAAGACUUUUUCCAAGAGGGAAUUUUGAUCGCCUUCGUUAUAAGGGCAUUAUACAUUAUUAUGUUUAGGUAUAUGAACACAAGAUUGGUCAAUGAAAUGGACCAUUGACAUGUGAUUUGAUAAAGAUUGAUCAAUGGACGUAAUAAUUGAUGAUUGAAUUGUAAUUGUAAAUUAAAUUGGUAUUUCUUAUUUGUAUAAUGCUUGGUCGAAAGGAUAAAACUGAUUUUUGAUCUCACUUAUAUACUAUAUUAUGAAUUUGGGUUAAACAAGUUGUAGUU